Silurus meridionalis is the source of this 2909-nucleotide long non-coding RNA. RefSeq lists it as uncharacterized. Lineage: Eukaryota; Metazoa; Chordata; Actinopteri; Siluriformes; Siluridae. The record is from RefSeq and is a predicted model, not a curated record. The transcript is spliced from 2 exons.
UAUACAAUAUCAUGAUUAAUAUUUUUUCUUCUCAUUGUGCCAUUGUCAGCCUAUCAACCUAUUUCUUGUCAAUGCACAGCUUUUUCAACCUUCCACUACUGUACCAUUUCCUAGCUAUCACUUGGCUAGCCUAUGAAGCUAACAAUUAACGAGGCAGAAAGCUACAACACAUUAUGGCAAACGUGGAUGAGACAGAGGGAGUCAGCGAUGUAAACAUGACGGAAAACAGAGACAUUCCUGAUCACCUGAUCAUCAUCAUCAUUUUUCUGCUUGUGUUUAAUGUGGUGGUUGGUUAUCCUGGAUACAAUCAUUAGAAAAAAGAAAGAUAGAAAAUUACCAGAUGCACCUGCAUCGCCUGAGCAAAACUUCCCACUGGAAAAUAUCUGUUGCAGUACAAUUCAUUGAACAGCUCCAGCAUAUUCAGAAAGAAAGAAAGAAAAAAAACUUUAUUGCUUUUAAAAGUUGAAGUCAACAUGAAAAAAAAACUAUCCCAACACAUUAAACAUGCUGUACAAAGAUCAAUUCUGAAAUCCAUUAAAAUACAUAUAAAACCAGGUAAGAAUGUGCAUUUGAUAUUUUACUGUAUACUGAUGUUCUAAAGUACCUAAAUGCUGUGAUGCUAUGAAAAAAAAUCAUAUACAUUUCUGUGCAAGUGACAAAAGGCUGAGCUCUGAAUUAAAUAAAACCAAUAUCUACAGAUCCAAACUCACAUUAAAGAUUUGUUUUUCUUUACUUUAAUGCAACCAAAAAUUUCAACUGCAUUUUCCAGCUCUUAAAACCUGCCAUGUAUAAUAACUCAUGAAAGCAUGUUUAUGCGCCAUUACCAUUCCCUUAUCAUUCCAAGUGACUCAAAAAGAAAUGUUUCAGAUAAGGAAACACACAUUCCUACAAAGCACUUUCCCCCACCUUCUCUAUGUAGAUACAAUCAAAGUCAUUAUGUUGAUUAUUUGCAGAGUGAGAACAAUGAGAAGAGGUUUCCACAUAAUUUCGAUUUUAAAGUGCAGACAGCUUUACCCAGACUUUACAUACAAAUUUGUACUUUACAGGAAUAUGAUAUGAGAUUUACAAAUAAGAUAAGGCAUGUAAACUGCUAGCAUUGACAGCUUCAGUAAGGCAUGAAUAAAAGACUAGCAGCAUUAUCAGUUUUACAGUUCUUACUCAAAUAUAGCAAGCAGGAUCAGACAGAAAUGCACACAUCAGAGCGUUACAAACUUCCUUUAUAACAUGGUUAUAAAAGAUAAGCAGCGAUCUCAAUACAGCACAGUUUAUGAUUAACUAGGUCUGGCACAGGAGAAAGAAGAGGAAACACAGCCAUGGAAACAAUUUCAAGUUAAAUAAAUACAUUAUUGAUGGUAAGUGAAUAGUAACCAUCUGCAUGUAAAACACUGCCAUCAAAAAAAAAAAAAAAAAUGUAAACAUAUAAGGCAACAGUGCCAUGGUUAUUGGUUUAUUUUUUGAAUGACAUUUUAGCCGUAGCUUUGUGUGAUAACUUUUUAAUCAUAACUGUAUGACUUUCCACUGCAUUAUAUUUAGUGCAUUACAUUUACACUGAUUAUAUUGUAUUACCAGUUUUAACAACCGUUACACAUUUAACAGAUUUUUUUCUACUCUAAAAAAAAGGUAAAUGGGACCUGUGACAAAUUAUUACGAAAAAUGUUCUGCAGUGUUCUCACACACCUCCGCACUACAAAUGUUCUCAAAUGGACUUUCUUUCAAGAAUGAAUGGGGAAUGUUUUGAGUUCAUUAAUUUAAAAUUUUACUUUAUAGUACAUUUUAUUUACUAACAUAACUAUAUAUAUUGGAAAGCACCAUGAAAACAGUUUUGCUAAAAAUGUAAAAGACAUUGGAAAGGUUUGACUUAAAAACAAUGAAGUGUUAAAUUAUUUAAAACACUGUUUUGGGGUUUAUCGUGUGUGUGUGUCAGCCAUGUGGGCCUGGUACAACAAAAACGGUUAUAUCAAACCCUUAUUAUUAUGUUAACUGGGUGAUUGUUGCUGGUGUUAAGCAGUCCAACAGAGCUACAAAUGGCAUUAUUUUUAUAUCCUCCAAUAAUGUCAAUAAACGGUAUAAUAAUAGGUGGAAAUCUUUUUAGGGUACUAGAUGAUUAAAACAAUUUGUCAUUUUUAAUAGCAAACUGUGAGCAGGGAAAAUCUAUAUCACACAAAACCUAAUCAGCAGUAGAUAUAAAUAACAAAUACAAUUCAAGCAAUGUUCUGUGGGUAUAAUAUAUAAUUAAAAAUAUUGCAAAGAUACCAAAUCACCCGGAAAAUAUUUACACAUCAGAAGACUUAUCUAUAUGUCAGAAUGGGCAAUUUGUGUCCUAUUCAGAAUGUGUUCUCAGUUUUCCUUAGACAGCCUGAAGAUGAAUAAAUAAAGCGGGUAUGCCAAAAAUAGCAUGAUAAUUGAAGAUAUGUUCAUGAUUCACAGUAUGUAUCAUGAUUCAGUUAGAAUGAGGUUUACACUAACACACACAGAAUGCUCUUUUUAUAUUAAUAUUUUGGAAAUGGAAAGAAGACAAUGUUAAUAUUCUUUCAGUUAUUUGUCAGUCUGACUAACAAUGGUGUGAGCCAAUGUUGUAGAAUUCCUAAUCGUAGCCACAAUAUAAAAGUCUGCAUAUUUUAUUGUAAUAAUAUCAAAUUCAUAACAUCUUCCACCCAUAAUCACAAUACUCAGUUUGGUCAGUUAAUUUUUUAAAUAACUAUCACAUGAAUAAAUUACUGUCAACUGUUGAUUACUGCAAUAUUGAUAUUACUUUGUCAUAUUGCCCAAGACUACAACAUUCACAGGCAAAUUAAACCAUACAUCAAGCACUUGCUUGCUUUUUAAUGCUGGAGUAAUAUGACAGAUUCCUUUAGUAAACCAGCCAUGUCCAUGUGUGCUGAAGCUACGCAUGUUCUAGGGCACAGGGG